UUCCCGUACGGUCACGGAAGUUAAGCAACGUCGAAACUGGUCAGUACCGAGAUGGGUGACCGCUUGGGAAUACCAAGUGCCGUAA
Non-coding RNA from Acanthosepion pharaonis, 85 nucleotides. NCBI's taxonomy places the organism in Eukaryota, Metazoa, Mollusca, Cephalopoda, Sepiida, Sepiidae. The record is from the annotation of a GenBank genome assembly.